UAUCUAUCUUAUGUUACUCAAUCGAACGGUGGUAUUUUCAUCUAUAAAUAGCAUGCACUGAACCAACGAUAUGAACGGCAAAGUUGUUAGAUUGAAACAUUGACUUGUUUAAUGUAUGUAUGGACUGUAUGCGUAAAUGGAAAAGACUUAAACAGAUAGAUAAUCGUCAGAUAGAUAAAUUGCACAAGAAAGUACUGCCGCUUGCGAGAUGCCUUCCAGCUUUUAUUACCAUUUACUCGAUAUAAUAUUUACAAUGCCCUCGAGUGCUGUCAUGGAACCAGUAGGAUACGCUUUCAAUUUGAUCAGUAAAUUAAUGGCAGACUCGUCACGCAAACGGACAAUGGCGGUGGUAGAUAGUCUCAAGAACGACUAAACGUUGUAGUUGCGUUGUAGCAAAUUCCUUUUUCACCACUGUUCUACUGGGGAUAUCUUUGGCUAUGAUUUCUGAUAUAUUGUCGUGUCGUCGACAUAUUUCCACUUAUAAAAAGGGUUUGAUAGAUCGGAAGUCAAUUAUAUGCUUCAAAACCACUGAGCGUUCACAAUAUUGCACGGAAUUGCCGAUAAAUCCUGUGCGAAAAAACUUUGUCUUGCUUUCAAUCAAGUUUAUCUAUCUGACGAUUAUCUAUCUGUUUAAGUCUUUUCCAUUUACGCAUACAUACAUUAAACAAGUCAAUGUUUCAAUCUAACAACUUUGCCGUUCAUAUCGUUGGUUCAGUGCAUGCUAUUUAUAGAUGAAAAUACCACCGUUCGAUUGAGUAACAUAAGAUAGAUA
RNAcentral lists this long non-coding RNA (772 nucleotides) under Paramuricea clavata. Lineage: Eukaryota; Metazoa; Cnidaria; Anthozoa; Malacalcyonacea; Plexauridae. The record is from RNAcentral.